GACGAACGCUGGCGGCGUGCUUAACACAUGCAAGUCGAGCGGUAAGGCCCUUUCGGGGUACGACGAGCGGCGAACGGGUGAGUAACACGUGGGUGACCUGCCCUUAGCUCUGGGAUAAGCCUGGGAAACUGGGUCUAAUACCGGAUAUGACUCCAUGACGCAUGUUGUGGGGUGGAAAGCCCUGUGCGGCUAGGGAUGGGCCUGCGGCCUAUCAGCUUGUUGGUGGGGUGANGGCCUACCAAGGCGACGACGGGUAGCCGGCCUGAGAGGCGACCGGCCACACUGGGACUGAGACACGGCCCAGACUCCUACGGGAGGCAGCAGUGGGGAAUCUUGCGCAAUGGGCGAAAGCCUGACGCAGCGACGCCGCGUGGGGAUGACGGCCU
RNAcentral lists this ribosomal RNA (386 nucleotides) under uncultured bacterium. RNAcentral describes it as "bacterial SSU rRNA". It matches the Rfam family "Bacterial small subunit ribosomal RNA", at positions 28 to 417 of the family's 1533-position model. The record is from RNAcentral.